This 500-nucleotide ribosomal RNA is filed under the name uncultured bacterium. RNAcentral's name for it is "partial 16S ribosomal RNA". It matches the Rfam family "Bacterial small subunit ribosomal RNA", at positions 30 to 523 of the family's 1533-position model. The record is from RNAcentral.
AUUGAACGCUGGCGGCAUGCCUUACACAUGCAAGUCGAACGGCAGCGCGGACUUCGGUCUGGCGGCGAGUGGCGAACGGGUGAGUAAUACAUCGGAACGUACCCUGUUGUGGGGGAUAACUAGUCGAAAGACUAGCUAAUACCGCAUACGACCUGAGGGUGAAAGUGGAGGACCGCAAGGCCUCACGCAGCAGGAGCGGCCGAUGUCUGAUUAGCUAGUUGGUGGGGUAAAGGCCCACCAAGGCGACGAUCAGUAGCUGGUCUGAGAGGACGAUCAGCCACACUGGGACUGAGACACGGCCCAGACUCCUACGGGAGGCAGAAGUGGGGAAUUUUGGACAAUGGGGGCAACCCUGAUCCAGCAAUGCCGCGUGUGUGAAGAAGGCCUUCGGGUUGUAAAGCACUUUUGUCCGGAAAGAAAUCGCGCUGGUUAAUACCUGGCGUGGAUGACGGUACCGGAAGAAUAAGCACCGGCUAACUACGUGCCAGCCGCCGCCGUAA